AUUGAACGCUGGCGGCAUGCUUUACACAUGCAAGUCGAACGGCAGCGGGGAGGAGCUUGCUUCUCUGCCGGCGAGUGGCGAACGGGUGAGUAAUACAUCGGAACGUGUCGAGAAGAGGGGGAUAACCACCCGAAAGGGUGGCUAAUACCGCAUAAAUUCUGAGGAAGAAAGCUGGGGACCUAGGAAUAGGCCUAGCGCUUUUUGAGCGGCCGAUGUCGGAUUAGCUAGUUGGUGAGGUAAAGGCUCACCAAGGCGAAGAUCUGUAGCGGGUCUGAGAGGAUGAUCCGCCACACUGGGACUGAGACACGGCCCAGACUCCUACGGGAGGCAGCAGUGGGGAAUUCUGGACAAUGGGGGCAACCCUGAUCCAGCCAUGCCGCGUGUAUGAAGAAGGCCUUAGGGUUGUAAAGUACUUUUGUUAGGGAAGAAAAGUCAGCUGUGAAUAAUGGCUGAUACUGACGGUACCUAAAGAAUAAGCACCGGCUAACUACGUG
Molecule: ribosomal RNA, 494 nt
Filed under: uncultured bacterium
Lineage: Bacteria
Description: partial 16S ribosomal RNA
Rfam family: Bacterial small subunit ribosomal RNA
Source: RNAcentral